Cinara cedri is the source of this 317-nucleotide non-coding RNA. The record is from the annotation of a GenBank genome assembly. Lineage: Eukaryota; Metazoa; Arthropoda; Insecta; Hemiptera; Aphididae.
GGUAGAAUUUACGAUAAUACAUUAGAGAAGUUUACUGCACGGAAAUCAUAAUAUGCUGUCACUUUAAUAUAAUUUAUAGAUAACUGAGGAACUACGACGAUAUCCACAGUACCAGUUAUAGUAGGUAUAAAAAGGAAAAGACAAAAAGAGUAACUAUUUAGGUGCUAUUAAUGUAUUAUUAUCGACGUUUUUAUAAUGUUUUUGUUUUUUCCUAUAUAAAAGCCCAAAAGCUGUCUCGAGAAUAAAUCGAUUUUACAUCGGAUCAUAUAAAAUGGAUUUUGUCCCAUACUUGCUGAUCGUGUAACCAAAAAAAAAAA